UACGUAGGCAGCGAGCGUUGUUCGGAAUCACUGGGCGUAAAGCGCACGUAGGCGGAUGUGCCAGUCAGGGGUGAAAUCCCGGAGCUCAACUCCGGAACUGCCUCUGAUACAGCACGUCUUGAGUUCGAGAGAGGUGGGUGGAAUUCCUAGUGUAGAGGUGAAAUUCGUAGAUAUUAGGAAGAACACCGGUGGCGAAGGCGGCCCACUGGCUCGAUACUGACGCUGAGGUGCGAAAGCGUGGGGAGCAAACAGG
Molecule: ribosomal RNA, 253 nt
Filed under: uncultured bacterium
Lineage: Bacteria
Description: partial 16S ribosomal RNA
Rfam family: Bacterial small subunit ribosomal RNA
Source: RNAcentral